Non-coding RNA from Paramuricea clavata, 252 nucleotides. NCBI's taxonomy places the organism in Eukaryota, Metazoa, Cnidaria, Anthozoa, Malacalcyonacea, Plexauridae. The record is from the annotation of a GenBank genome assembly.
AUCGUUUAAACAAUACUGGAAAAACUUUAAAAAUUAGCCAAUUAUUGAAAUAAAUGCACUAAUAAUAACUUGCUAAACAUUAGCCAGUUGCUAUUAUUUAUAUACAAAACAUCUGUCAACUGCAUACACUCAUGCUUUUCCCUGCCACUUGAGUCUCCCACUCACCAGGUAUCUUUAUAGAAAUUUUUAAAAAAAGGUUUAAAAAGUAAAAAAGUUUAAAAAGUUAGAUUUUCAAAAAAAAGUUAAAGAGAU